This 521-nucleotide ribosomal RNA is filed under the name uncultured bacterium. RNAcentral's name for it is "bacterial SSU rRNA". It matches the Rfam family "Bacterial small subunit ribosomal RNA", at positions 45 to 518 of the family's 1533-position model. The record is from RNAcentral.
UGCCUAAGACAUGCAAGUCGAACGAAGUGACCCAAUGAAGUGUGCGAGCUUGCUCAAACAUGGAUUUGGAUUCUCACUUAGUGGCGCAAGGGUGAGUAACACAUGGGUAAUCUGCCUUUAAGUCUGGAAUAACAGUUAGAAAUGAUUGCUAAUGCCGGAUAAUAUGUGGAAUGAUAAUUCUUUCUUUAUUAAAAGGGGCUUUCAAGCCUCGCUUAAAGAUGAGCCUGUGGCGUAUUAGCUAGUUGGUAGGGUAAUGGCCUACCAAGGCGACGAUGCGUAGCCGACCUGAGAGGGUGAUCGGCCACACUGGGACUGAGACACGGCCCAGACUCCUACGGGAGACAGCAGUUAGGAAUAUUCGUCAAUGGGGGAAACCCUGAACGAGCAAUGCCGCGUGAAGGAAAGACGGUCCUAUGGAUUGUAAACUUCUGUUGUUAGGAAAGAACGACCUGUAUAGGAAAUGAUACAGGAGUGACGGUACCUUUCAAGAAAGCUCCGGCUAACUACGUGCCAGCAGCUGC